This is a non-coding RNA of Podarcis muralis (Common wall lizard), 3029 nucleotides long. NCBI's taxonomy places the organism in Eukaryota, Metazoa, Chordata, Lepidosauria, Squamata, Lacertidae. The record is from RefSeq and is a predicted model, not a curated record.
GCCAGCCCUGGCGCCCAGGUGCCUGGCCCCUUGACCCAGACCCGCCUGGCUUGUGGGGCUGCCCCGGUGGGUCCAGAGUGUCCUGAAUGCUUUGCUGUGUGAGGCUGAUCCGUGCUGCAUUGAAAGAGGCCGUGAUGCAACCGCUUCUACGGAAACCGGCUCCAGGCCCUUUGGCUUGGAACAUUGACCAGUUGGCAAGACCCCCUUUGGGGGAAGGUGGUGGAGAGAGCCAUGGGGGGCAGCUACAAGCAUUAUUGGAGGGCCCAGAUUAUUUAGAGCCAUUCCCACCUGGGUUCAGUCGGGGCCACAGACCUGAGUCGCCCUUGUUGCCCUGAUGGAUGACCUCUGCAGAGAGCAGCGCACAGGGAGUGUGACCUUGCUCCUGCUCCCUGCACUCAGGGAAGACCAUCCACCAUCCUGGACCCAUGGACUGGGGACAGUGUAUUACAGCGGUUCCAAUCCUACCUUCAGGUCCAGAGAGUAGCACUGGGAGAGUACCUCUUGGCCCCCGGGCAGCUAUUUAAUAUAUGCAAGUUGGGGUUUCAGGGCAAUGUGCCACCAGUAUGCUGAGGACACUCAGUUCUCUUUCUCCUUAACAUCUGAAUGUUACAGAGAGACCGCACAGUCCUGGGGUCAUAUCCUGCCUGCCUCCCAGUGCCAUCGCUGCCUCCCAUGGGAGCAAGUUCCAUAGUUCACACUAUGCUGUGUGAAGAAGAGCUUUCUUUUAUCUGUCCUGAAUUUUCCAGCUUUUGCUUCCUUCAGUAUCCAUGAGUUGUCGUGUUAUAAGAGAGAGAGGAAAACAUUACCACCCACUUUUGCUCAUGUCCUGCUUCCAAGCGUCCCACGGGGUCCCUGGGAGAACAGGAGGCUGGGCCAGACGGGCCUUUGGAUUGUCAACUGUUCCCUUUUCUUGCGAGGAAUCCUAUUUGGAAUAAGGGAAUUUCCCUUAAAAAAAGAGAAACGUUGACAGCCAUGGGCUCUUACUAUGUCUUAUUUGAUAAACUUCAAAUGUGACUAUAUUUUGUCAUGUGUAGUAUAUAAAUUGCAGAUGUUUUGUUUGGGUAUGAUGCAUGUGUUUGUCAGUAUUAGCGCAUAGGCUUUUGUGGGCUAUGGUCUACUUCAACAGAUGCAUGAAGUGUGAUCCUCAGUCAAAGUACAUAUACAGACAAUUGUGAGUGGUAACCGCAGACAUUGAGAUCAGGGAAACGAGAUGAAGAAAAAGUACAGACCUGAUAAUUACAUAAUUAUUUGUGGUCAUUACAGCUGGUAACAGAGACAUCCUCUCAUGAUGAGUGGUACUGGAUCUAGUCCAAUGUCGACUAUUGCUCCAUCAGGCAGCGGAAGAGGGACUGGGAAAUCAACAAACUUUACUCCUGAACUGCAAAGUAUGAUGUUUUCCUUAGGAGAUGCUCGCAGGCCUCUCCACGAGUCGGCAGUAUUGGUGGAAGACAUUGUCCACACUCAGCUGAUUAAUUUGUUACAACAAGCCUCUGAAGUUUCUCAAAUGAGAGGAGCAAGAGUAAUCUCUGCAGAAGAUCUUAUUUUUUUGAUGCGCAAAGAUAAGAAAAAGCUUAGAAGGCUACUUAAAUAUAUGUUUUUCCGAGACUACAAAUCUAAAGUUGUCAAAGGCAUUGAAGAAGAUGAUCUUCUUGAAGACAGACUCAGUAGCAGCAGCACCAAUAAACGUCAGAAAAUUGCUCAAGAUUUUCUUAUCUCUAUUGACCAGACUGGAGAGCUGUUGGGCUUGUUGGAAGAUGAUGAGAUUGAUGAUGUAAAACUAGAGAGAAUGGAGAGGGCAGAAAGACAGGCACGAAUGAUGGACUCUGCACAAUAUGCAGAAUUCUGUGAAAGUCGUCAACUAAGCUUUUCCAAGAAGGCUUCCAAGUUCCGGGACUGGCUGGACUGUAGCAGCAUGGAAAUAAAACCCAAUGCUGUUGCCAUGGAAAUUUUGGCUUAUUUAGCUUAUGAGACUGUCGCACAGCUGGUGGACCUGGCCCUUCUCGUCAAGCAGGACAUGACUCCCAAAGCUGGGGACCCUUUCAGCCAUGCAAUAUCUGCUACUUUCAUUCAGUAUCAUAGUUCUGCUGAGAUGCAUGUUUUGGGGCAAGCAACAAGUCUGAAGACCAGUCCAGACUCUCCUGAAAGCACCCCGCCACCAACGCCCACCCCUCCAGCUGCAGGCCCACAGCACCUUGGGAAGGCUCCGUCUGGAUCCAUGGGCAAUGGCAGCAUUGGGCAAGACUCCUCAAAAGCCAAGCAGCGAAAGAGGAAGAAAAGUUCUGCUGCUUGUGGUGCAGAAGCUCAGAGUGAUGCCAUCCAGCCUUCCCACAUCAGAGAGGCCAUUCGGCGCUAUGGCCACAAGAUUGGACCCCUUUCCCCAUACACAAGCGCCUACCGCAGAAAUGGGAUGACUUUUCUUGCUUGCUAAUAUGGAUGUGGCUACAGCAACAGGAAAGACCAUGUUAUAUUAAGGUGAUUCCCCCUCCCCGCAUGACACCCUUCGGGGGGGGGGUAAAUAAAUAAAAGUUCCAGCCAGCAUGUGUCUACUGUAAAUCUGUGGUCUUCAUGACGACUAUAGCAGAACAUAGUACAAAUUCUGGAGUGAGGUCUGAACAUGAAAAUUGUUCUGGUUAUCGUUUUGGAUGGGAAGCGCAUUGAAUGUUUCACUUAAACUCUCCAAUAUCAACCCAUUGGCAAGCGCUGCUGCAGCAAACUUAAUCAAAGGACUGAGAAAGAUUGCAAACAGAGGACAUUCACAAUCAACUAAAGGAAUGAUUUAUUAUAUAUACCAACCUUAUCACUGGACAGUUUUCAAAACUGGGUAUUCUUGUGAAUUGUUGCAGUUGAUACAGUAUUCUACUGUACGAACUGGCAGAGUUGUAAUUUUAAAAAAAUCCAUGUCAUUUUCCUGGAACUAAUCUGCAUGUUAAAGAACUAAAAAUAAUAUGUACAAUAAAGAAGAAGAAACAUUUCUGAUGUUCCGUCUAUGCUUGCUGAAAUGUAUGAUUAAACUUUUCUUUUUAUCAUGA